AUUGAACGCUAGCGGGAUGCUUUACACAUGCAAGUCGAACGGCAGCGCGGACUUCGGUCUGGCGGCGAGUGGCGAACGGGUGAGUAAUGUAUCGGAACGUGCCCAGUAGCGGGGGAUAACUACGCGAAAGCGUAGCUAAAACCGCAUACGCCCUACGGGGGAAAGCAGGGGAUCGUAAGACCUUGCACUAUUGGAGCGGCCGAUAUCGGAUUAGCUAGUUGGUGAGGUAACGGCUCACCAAGGCGACGAUCCGUAGCUGGUUUGAGAGGACGACCAGCCACACUGGGACUGAGACACGGCCCAGACUCCUACGGGAGGCAGCAGUGGGGAAUUUUGGACAAUGGGGGCAACCCUGAUCCAGCCAUCCCGCGUGUGCGAUGAAGGCCUUCGGGUUGUAAAGCACUUUUGGCAGGAAAGAAACGUCGCGGGCUAAUACCCCGUGGAACUGACGGUACCUGCAGAAUAAGCACCGGCUAACUACGUG
RNAcentral lists this ribosomal RNA (484 nucleotides) under uncultured bacterium. RNAcentral's name for it is "partial 16S ribosomal RNA". It matches the Rfam family "Bacterial small subunit ribosomal RNA", at positions 30 to 507 of the family's 1533-position model. The record is from RNAcentral.